CCUACGGGGGACAGCAGUGGGGGAUAUUGCACAAUGGGGGAAACCCUGAUGCAGCGACGCCGCGUGUGGGAAGACGGUCUUCUGGAUUGUAAACCACUGUCCCCAGGGACGAAAAUGACGGUACCUGGGGAGGAAGCUCCGGCUAACUACGUGCCAGCAGCCGCGGUAAUACGUAGGGAGCAAGCGUUGUCCGGAAUUACUGGGUGAAAAGGGAGCGUAGGCGGGGAUGCAAGUUGGGUGUCAAAACUACCGGCUCAACCGAUAGUCGCACUCAAAACUGCAACUCUUGAGUGAAGUAGAGGCAGGCGGAAUUCCUAGUGUAGCGGUGAAAUGCGUAGAUAUUAGGAGGAACACCAGUGGCGAAGGCGGCCUGCUGGGCUUUUACUGACGCUGAGGCUCGAAAGUGUGGGGAGCAAACAGGAUUAGAUACCCGUGUAGUC
Molecule: ribosomal RNA, 440 nt
Filed under: uncultured bacterium
Lineage: Bacteria
Description: partial 16S ribosomal RNA
Rfam family: Bacterial small subunit ribosomal RNA
Source: RNAcentral